Molecule: ribosomal RNA, 253 nt
Filed under: uncultured bacterium
Lineage: Bacteria
Description: partial 16S ribosomal RNA
Rfam family: Bacterial small subunit ribosomal RNA
Source: RNAcentral
UACGAAGGGGGCUAGCGUUGCUCGGAAUCACUGGGCGUAAAGGGCGCGUAGGCGGACUCUUAAGUCGGGGGUGAAAGCCCAGGGCUCAACCCUGGAAUUGCCUUCGAUACUGAGAGUCUUGAGUUCGGAAGAGGUUGGUGGAACUGCGAGUGUAGAGGUGAAAUUCGUAGAUAUUCGCAAGAACACCGGUGGCGAAGGCGGCUACCUGGACCGGUUCUGACGCUGAUGCGCGAAAGCGUGGGUAGCAAACAGG